GUGUUAUGUUACUAGUGUGUUUUUUUUUUUUUUCCUGUUUAGUUGUAAGGCUUGCAGAUUAUAUUUCUAUAUGGUAAUUUUUUUUGUGUAUGUGAGAUACACUGCAGUCCAGCAACCUGGACCAUAUCACAAUGUCAAAAUGUGCAAAAUAAAUACUUGAGCUAUUUAUGGAGCUUUCAAACUGUUACACUUGUACUCAAAUCCUUUUUACCUGCAACGAACUAAUCAAAUUCCUGUUAAUCUGCGCCCGAAUGAAUCAGUCCAAGUAAAUCCCAGACAGAUCUAUUCGUUCGGGUGCAGAUUAACAGGAAUUUGAUUAGUCUGUCACAGGUAAAAAGGAUUUGUGCACAAAUCUACUAAUUAUGGCACUGCCAUUUGUUCAGUUACUUCUAUACAUGUGAAUAAAAUAUAAAUUUUUCAAAUCAGUUAACCCCGAACCAUACCCUUUAAGAUUCUUUUAUUUGGGGUAUAUGUAAGCCUCACUGAAACAAGUGCUAAAACAAAUACUUUUUGUUUUCUACAUACACUUUUGUUAUCUUUAUUUUAGUAUGGUUAUUAGUCAGCAUAGAUUUUAUAGAUUUAUAAAAUAUAUAAAAAGUUUAUAGGUAGAUUAACUUUGUCCUUGAAUUGCCUAUGAGUCUUAGAGACAUACAUGUGCUCACAUAUAUAAUUUUUAAGUUUAUACAGUUUCUGUUUACCCAAUCAACCCAUUGUUUUUUUUCUUUUUUAUUAUCAGCUACAUUUUUUCACGCACAAAACUGAUUUAUUGCUGCACUUCGUUAGACAAUUAGCAAGUUUGGGUAAAGUGAUGGGACAUUUAAAUUGUGUUUAUUGUUAACUGUUAAGACUUUUCUUUUUUUUUUUUUUUCUUGCACACCAAGGGAGGUUAUACGAACAUUACAAUCUGUUUUUAGGAAUGCUAUCAAUAUGGAAUGAUUUGCUUAAUUACUUUAUGGCUGUGUAAAGCAACCAAAGGAGAAUAAGUGAACAUUUAAUGUUGGCAUUGAAUUAGGAUGACCUCAUAUUAUAGUAAUUGGCCCAUAGUUGAUUAAUGCGUGUUUAUGAAGAAGUAUUUUUGCACGAGACUAUUUCAAGAAAAGCAUCAGCCUUUCACUUUGGGUAAACAUUGCAUAGUUCAUUCCAUACGUUAGACAUUCAUGUAGCAACCCCUUCCAAUGCAUAGAACAAUUGCACAAACUGGCUACUGUAAAGGCAUACUCUAAGCACCAGAGCAACUUUAGAUUAGUUUUGGUGCACAAAUGAUGCCCAUGCAGGCUCUCUGCUCAAUUACCUGCCAUUUAGAAAUUAAAAGGUUAUUCCAACCACCACGGCCACUUUAGUGAUUUGAGGUGGUUAUGGUGGUAGGAGUGUGGCUAUGCAGCAUUUCUGACUGAAAUUAUGUACAUCCAGAGAUAUUUGCACUCCCAGCUUGUGUGACUUUGGCAGCCCGGAACUUUGGUGGUUUGUUUUUUGUUUGUUUUUUUCCACCUUAAAUAAAAAAUUCUUCCCUCUCUCCCAUUGCCGGCUCAGAGCGCAUGCAUGCGCUCUAAGUCAGCAAAACAGUCCAAUCACAGGCUUCUUUAUAUGACAUCAGACAGAGGAGGGUGAUCAGCAACGAGAACUUCGUCAAGUGUUGUAUUAUAGCUAAGGUUCAUAUUUUUUUUAAGUCUCAGAGGACCUCUUAUCAAUGUCCAUAAGUCUAAAAAGGCAAAGGGUUUGAGUAACCCUUUAAAUCACUUUGUUUUUGCAGCCUUAGUCAUACCUCUCGUGUCUGUGACUUAUACAGCCUCCCUACACACUUCCUGUAGAAAGAGAUCUAAAUGAAACACUUAUUGAGCUGGAAGUAAAAAAAAAAAAAUAGUAUUUCAUGGCUUAUGCUCUAAUUGCCUGCUUAAUUGUGUGUGAUCAGAGUUUGCGAGUUCUUAGGCAGAACUCAAAAAAGAGGGUUGAUGUGCUCACAUUCAAAGUAAGGCUCUUGGAUGGGCCAUGAGGCAAGGCCCAACAAGUGUCUGAGGUGGUCAGUGGCCUAAUUAUAGAGCCACCUCUAUGUGUAAUUAAAGCUUAAUUAACCACAUGAUGUAAAAACUUCUAAAGUAAACACAUUGUGCUGUUAGGUCUGAAUGAACAUGAAACCAUCUUUUUCACUGGGACUGUGAGAGUCCCAACCAAGGAAGGUUUGGCUAGAGCUGCAUAAACAGAAGCAAAUGUGAUUUAACUCCUUAAUGGCAGAGAAUUGAGCAGUGACCAAAACUGCUCCAGUGCGCUAAAGUUGUUUUGGUGCUUAGAGUAUGCAUUUAAGAAAACAUAUUCUGACAAGGCUCUUACUCAAAGCUAACCUUGGUUUUAAAGGCUUUGGUGAACAUAUACAUAAGUUACCUUUUAACCCUUAUGGUGCCAGAGGUAUGCCCAGUACCAGUGAUUUGCAAAGCAAUGUAUUGAGCAAGUGCAUUUGACACACCACUGACACACAACAUAUUUUACUGUUAUAUAACAUUCAUGGUUUAUUGGGUCAGGGUGUGAUAAAUCAGUCCUUUUAAUUUUGCCCAAACUAAAACCUACUUGAAAUUGUCAACCAAUUUUAUGUAAAAUGUUGACAGUAUGGGAACUAUUAUAAAAAUCUGAUUCUAAAAAAAAAAAAUUUGCAUCAAUGAAAGAUAAAAUAUGUUAAAAAUGAAAUGCCUCAGCUGUGGAACAUCAAAUUACCAAAGAUUUUACAUCGUUUCCAUGCAGUGAUUUUGCAGUAUCUCUGACCACUUCUAGGUUUUCAUCUGAAACCCUUAUAAAUAUAGAUGUAACGGAUGUAAUCUAGAAAGUCUGCCAUGUGAUUGGAAGACUGCUUGCUCUGAAAACAUUUAAAACCUUCAAGAACAUUUCUGUUAAUUGCAGAGUGACUGACUCGUGGUAUUUAUUUUGCAGAACUGUGUAAAUGAAAAGUGCAAUACUCAGAAAAUUUGUAUACUUGGGAAAGCAAAUGUCGUUAGAAAAAUAAUCCAUCUAUUCUACAGUCUGCGUACUCACCAAAUUUCUUGGUUUGCUGUAAACCACCACAAUUGUAGUCUGUAUUGAAAUUUGAGAAUUAAGGGGAAAAAAUGAAAAAUCAUUUAUCUCCAGGAUUAUUGUGAAUUUCAGUUAAAGAGUUACUCUGGACACCAUGACCAAUUCAGUGUUUUGAAGUGGUACGUGGAGUCUGUGUGCAGCAUAUCGCUUUGGAAUCAUCCACCAUACUGGAACUAAAAUUCUGUGCUGCCUAAUGUAUGUAAUGAUUGAGUGUUAAGAUUGGCAUCCGGUUUCUGGAGCUUUAUAGAAGCUAGAUGUUACAAACCCGGCUCAGAAAAGACACGACUUGAACAGGUAAGAGAGCAAACUGUUGUAAAACAGUAUGCCCCAUUACUGGGGUACUCCUCAAUAGCUGGCUGCAGUGGUUAUGUUUGGAGUAACCCUUUAUCUAUACAUACCAUGUGUCUCUAUUUAGGAGGGACUCUAUUUUAGACCCAUAUCCCUCUGUCCUUAUUUUCUAUCGUAAUGUUUCUCUUUUCCAGGAGCUCUAUAUUGUUGGUGUUAUUGAUUGUUUAAUGGAACUCCACAGCAAUAAUACUCAUAGCAGUGUGCUUUUUAACAAAAAUAAAUAUGCUUAGGCAUCGGUCUGCUUCAUUGGUGUGCACAGUACAUUACAUUAGCAUGUGCACCCAGAGUAAAUUACAACCAAACCUUUACGUAAAGAAUACUAAUUUUGUAGUACAAUGUUCACAAUUUUGCUCUGAAAAUUGUGUAUACAGCCCUUCAGGCUUUUUACAGCAAACACUGUAUUUUCGGAGUAAAGUCAGUGUUUACAUUACAGCCUAGGGAUACCUCCACUAGCCACUCCUCAUAUGGCUUCUAAAUGUGCUUCCUGGGGCAGUGCUGCACAGUGUGACUGACUUUGUGUCUCCACCCUCUGCAUGGAGACACUGAACUUUCCUCAAAGAGAUGCAUUGAUUCAAUGAAUUUCUAUGAGAAGAUGCUGAUUGGCUAGGGCUGUUUUGAUUGUGCUGGCUCUGCCCCUGAUCUGCCUUCUUGACGGUCUCAGACAGUCUGAUGGUUUCAUAUUGGAAAGUAUUGUGAUUGACUGAGAGAAUCAGGCUUGAUGAUGUCAGCCGAGCAGGCGGAUCAGGGGCAGAGCCAUCAGUAGCAGACUGGGAUAAAGGUACGAUGUUCCUAUAUUUAGGGGGUAGGGAGGGGGGGCAGAGUUUGUGUUCCUGACCCUACAGUGUUCUUUUAAACAUAUAUCAAGCUACCAAAACUCAUAGAGAAGGGUCCAUAGAGAUCUAAAUAAGGGGACAGAGACAAUAAUUUUGCACUUCAUUAGGUUGUGUCUGGGCACACUCCUUGUGCACACCUAUGGUCUGCGUAAAUAAGAUACCUUCAAAAACUUCUCAAAUAAAUUUUAGUUUCAUAAAUUAUUUGUUUGUCACCUAAAAUUCUCAUUAAAGUGUCAAAAGAAUACACUUCAAGAUCUGUUACAAUAAGAUUAUUUGGUCAGGGAGCUACAGUUACAGAACGGGACAUAUAUAAUUUUUUUAAACCAUAUUGGGCUAAAGUAUCUAACCAAUUGCCCAUUCUCCACUCUAAUCCUCUCCAGUGCCAGGUUCUGAUCUCCUUGAAGAGGCUCUGAUAUUGAUCUGCAUAGUCUAUCUAUUAAUAUGUGCGUAAAAUUUAGUUUUUUUUUAAAAGAAAAUUAUGGUUUUGUAUAAAACAAUUUGAUCUUUAACCCCGUAAGGACCAAACUUCUGGAAUAAAAGGGAAUCAUGACAUGUCACACAUGUCAUGUGUCCUUAAGGGGUUAAAGCAAAUAACCUAAAAUAUCCUCUAAAAAUAAAAUAGUUGCUGAAUAAAAUUAACUCCUUCCAACAUAUAAGUUUAGAGCUCUAUUAUUAGUUUGCCUAGUACUAUACCAAUUAACAUGAAAUGUCUUCUGCAGAAAAAAAAAUAUUCUAAAAUAAUUUUCCAGCGACGUUCAUUUAAAUGUUUUGGCAGGUCCGAAUUUUCACUAGAAGUCUC
Molecule: long non-coding RNA, 5037 nt
Filed under: Pelobates cultripes (western spadefoot toad)
Lineage: Eukaryota; Metazoa; Chordata; Amphibia; Anura; Pelobatidae
Source: RNAcentral